GACGUGGGACUUGAUCCCAGGUCUCCAGGAUCAUGCCCUGGGCUGAAGGCAGGUGCCAAACCACUGAGUCACCUGGGCGUCCCAGCUUAACUUGUUUUUAAACUGAAAUUUUUAGAAUUUGUAUCUCCCAUCUCUUCCUUUGUGACUGCCAUUGCUCUUAGGCCUUUCUAAAAUCAAAUAUUAACCAAUGUUUUCCAUUUAUAAAAAAAAAUUUAUUUAAAAAAAAUUAAUUUCAUUUAAUUCUCAGACUCAUGUGGGGUUUAUGUUAGUAGAUGAUGUGAGGCAAAGCCCUAUCCCUAAUUUUUUUUCAAGUAUCUUAUCAGCUAUACUAUCACCUUUAUUGAAAAAAAUAGCUCUCCCCUCCACUGGUGGGUGGUGAUGCCUGUAUUAAAUAGAAUCUUAUUUUUAUGUUUAAAAAGUAUCCUACUGUUUUUCUUAUAGGCAUCAGUUUUGAAAGGCAAGGAUUCCAAAGUUUCUGAAAGAACGGUCGUGGUUGCUGGUCAUUCGGUUGGCCUUUUUAAUGAUCAAUUCCAGACCACAGUAGUGAAGACUCACUUCCAAGCUAUUAAGAGUGAAGGCAGAGUUGAUGAAAAUGUGGUAUAUCCCACAAGACCCAGGAGAGUUGCAAAUGUGACAUUCAAAGAAAAAAAAAAAGGUAUUUCCAAGUCAACUUUUGUCAUCUUAGAAAUACUUCUGUAAUGAAAUAAAAAACUGAAUUUCAUUAAAAAUGAUUCAUGAGAUUGAUAAAGUUCAAAGUAGCUUUUUAAAAAGAUUUUAUUUAUUUAUUCAUGAGAGACACAGAGGGAGAGAGGCAGAGACACAGGCAGAGGGAGAAGCAGGCUCCUUGCAGGGAGCCCGACGUGGGAUUCGAUCCCGGGACCCUGGGGUCACGCCCUAGGCCGAAGGUGGCGCUAAACCACUGAGCCCCCCAGGGCUGCCCUCAAAGUAGCUUUUUGAAAAUAUUAUCCUAUUCUGAAUAUAAAAGUGGAACAAUAUUACACUAACAUGAAUGUAUGUGAAAAUAGCUCAUGAUAAAGUUGUAGUAACUGCCUAACUCUUGAAGACUUCUUUUUUUCUAUAUUUGAAAUCUGUCUAGCUUUUGGGGGAAAAAAGUAAUACAUUUUAUUGUAGAAAACUUGUAAAAUACAGAAAAAAAUCCACAAAGAUAAUGUAUAAUCUCACCAAUGAUUUAACUGCUUUGGAAUAUUCUUUCUUUAAAGAUUUUAUUUAUUUAUUCAUGAGAGACACAGACAGAGAGGCAGCGACCCAGGCAGAGGGAGAAGCAGCCUCCCCACAAGGAGCCCGAUGCGGAACUUGAUCCUGGACCCCACGAUCACGUCCUGAGCCGAAGGCAGAUGCUCACCCGCUGAGCCACCCAGGAGUCCCUGCUUUGGGAAUUUUCAAGUGGCUUCAGCAGUAUAAUCAUACUGUAUGCUUCUCUUUGUGCAAACCAGCAAAAGGAUAUUUUAGUGUAGCAUUGGCUUUAUCGCUGGCAAAGUUGGAUCGGAGAAAUGUGGCUUGGAUCUGAGCUCAGGUCGAGCCAUUCUAUUCCACACCCCAUCCUUUUUUUUUGUUUUAAAUUUUUUUUUCCACACCCCAUCCUUGACAUAAGGUGAGGACAUUGGGUGUGCAGACCUGGAGGUGGGGGGAGGGGGCUUGAUGGUUCAAUGACUGGCAAAAUAGGUUGACAGAGAAAGAUGUCUUGUGCCAGCACCUUGGAUGUAAAAUACCACAUGGUAUUGGAAGUAGAAGAAAGGCCUGGCUUUGCGUGAGGCAAAGAUAGGAUCUCGAGAGAGACCUAGGAGACUAAGGAUUGUCAGCACCUCGUCUGUCACCCUUAGUUAAGUCAUUCCUUCUCAAUGGGGGGUGAUUAGGUAGGGAGGUGGGAAGGGCUCCUUAUUAUUUCUCUAACAGGACUGUAGUGUUUUUAUUUUUAUUUUUUAAAGAUUUAUUUAUUUAUUCAUGAUAGAUACAGAGAGAGAGAGAGAGCGAGGCAGAGACACAGGCAGAGGGAGAAGCAGGCUCCAUGCUGGGAGCCCAACAUGGGACUCAGUCCUGGGACCCCAGGAUUGCGCCCUGGGCCAAAGGCAGGUGCUAAACCGCUGAGCCACCCGGGGAUCCCCAGGCCUGUCGUGUUUUUAGAAGUCAACUUUUCCAACAUUGCAUUGGUAACUCAGAGAGAGAAAGAGAAGUUUCAUUCAUUCAUUCGUCCACAAAGAUUUGUGAGUGCCUAUUAUUUGCAGGGGACCACUUCAGGCCUUCAGGAUACAGCAGUGAGUGAAGGAGGCAAAAUGUUUUCUUUCCUGGAGCAUACAUCCGGGCAGGUCGCCCCCCUGUGGAGCCGAGCUCGGCCUCCCGGGUGCGGGGUCCAGGCUCCCCGAGGGGCCCUGAAGAGGAGGAUCCCCAUGUCACCUGCGCCCCUGGGCCCCGUGGAUGCUGUCGGGCCAGGACUGUUUCAGGCUGUCCGGAGGCUCAAAGAACCUGUGCUCCUGGAAGCAAGUUCUCUUUUAGCAAAAACCAGGAAUUCCAUGGGGGAAGAAGGGGUGGGAGGGCGCCUGCAGCGAGCAAGACCGCGGGGGGCACAGGCCGCAGGCCCAAGGCCGCCUGCUCUCCACACGCGUCCUUCCUUUACUGCAACAGGCCUGAGCCCUACGAAGCGCCCUGACAGUGCUGAGUGUCCUGGGAGGAGAGCCGAGGGCCAGGUGAGCCCCCGGAUAGGACGCUCCAGGAGGCUGCGGCCAGGUGAGCCCCCCAACAGGACGCUCCAGGAGGCUGCGGCCUGGCAAGGACGCGGUUGUCAAAGGACUGAGGAGUGUUCCCUGCUCCUCACAUCAGCCUAGGAAGGGGACACGGACUCUGGAGGAAGGAGGCCGGGCACCAGGGGUCCUCGCGCGGCCUGCCAACCCCUAAGUUCCAGGUUCCCUCAGGUUCUGGUCACGUUUUAUGAGACGCACCUUGACCUCAUUGCAUCGCCUUCUGACACACACUUGCUCCAAAAAGAGGUCGUGGACUCGAGGCUGACGCGGUGGCGGGGAGCCGCCGUCCUCAUCCGGCCGCGCUGCGGGGGACAGUCAGCACCGGGCCCUACGCUCGGCUCUGCGUCCCGCGGCCAGGGAGGAGGCUGCCGGGACACUCAGCCCAUCCGACUCCAGAGGGAACCCUUACAGCUCGACACUUUGGAAAAAAAUCUCAUUAAACUUUGAAGAACCUCACUUUCUCUGCACCUCCAAAUUCUUAGAGAAGUAGCUUUAAUUCCAACAUAGAAGACGUCUGGAGGAUGGCUAUGCCUGUGGCAUUCACGGUUCGUGUUUACGCCGAAUACAACCAGGAGGCUGGCAAAGCUCACUCAGGAAGCUGCUUAGACUGAACGUACUUUUUUUGUUUAAAGAUUUAAUUUAUUUAUUCAUGAGACACACAGAGAGAGGCAGAGACACAGGCAGAGGGAGAAGCAGGCUCCAUACAGGGAGCCCGACGUGGGACUCGAUCCCGGGACCCCGGGGUCACGCCCCUGGCCGAAGGCAGAUGCUCAACCGCUGAGCCCCCCGGGGGACCUCCCGAUUGAAAGUACUUCUGAAGCAGAGAGGCUGCACCAUAGUGAAGGGGGCCAUCAUCCAGGUGAAAAAAAAAGAAGACGGAGGAACGAGCUUCAGAUCAAGACAGACAAAGAAGUAGAGUGGAAGAAAGGGUUCCAAGGCAUUUGGGAGAGCAACUGUAUUGGAUAGUGGUAUUCACAGAUUUGCAGACUUUCAAAGGUUUAAGGAUAUGUACCACGAGGCUGCCAGUGGUGUUUUGUCUUUAACAAACUGGCUUUGCUGGAACUGCAAAGAUCCCACGCGCAGAAGAUGACUGCUGCUUUAGUUACUGCUGUCAACUUCUCCGUAAUGCAUAAAAUUCUAAGGUAAUGAGGAGAGUUAUAAUGGGUAGUGGAGAAGUCCAUGUGGGUAAACCAACUUCUAUAGCAAAAUAGGUAAAUGAUUUUACACUAUGAUUUUGUAUCCAUUAUUGAGUCUGAAACACACAGAACACUAGCUUCUUAGUGACACUUGAAAAUAGCUGUAUCAGUCCUUUACUGCCUCUGGAGUCUUUUUAUGACCAUCCCUGCCGAAAAACUUCAAUAUUGAGGGAGAAAAUAGAAGUAUUCGCAUUUGGAAUUAAGUUUUCCAUCACUUUCUAUCUUUAUUCUUACUGAUACGCAUUUGUGCAAACAUGAAAGCCAGGAUUGAUUAGAACAAUAAUUUUGUGGCCCACAGAACACAUGCUAAAUCAGCACUCUUGUCUGGAAGCUGGACAUUUAUCUUUCCAAGCCAGGCUAACACCUAAUUGUCUCCACAUUGUGAGAAGUGUAAAGGCCAUCACGACAAUGGGGCAGAAAGUUGAGCCAACUCGAUUUAUUUAACACCUCAUAACACUCGGGAGUUUUUCUUCACUGCCCAGGCUUGUAAAAUUUAUUAUGAACCUUUAAUCCCUCCCCCUGCUUUCCUGAGGGCUUUAAAGUGAAUAUAAAACAACAACAAACAGAGUCUAUAAAAGCAUUUCCACCCCCGCCGCACAUGUUGCCAGCAGCUCGUCAGUGUCCCUAAGAACUUGUCCAGGUCGCGGGCGCGUCGGCCAGUUUAGGCCAGGCCUGCCUGCACUCCAGCUCUCUGCGAGCGGGGCCUUCCCAGCAAGCCGGCGAUUGUGGGGAUGGCAGGCCUCAUUCUGUCUUUGCUGCUUAAAUAUUUCUAUUACAAGGAUAACACAGUCACACAAUUAAAAAAAAAAAAACAAAUACUAUUACUUUUAACACAAAGACGCUAUAUUCACAUGGAAAAAAAUUAAAACAUUGCAGAAAAGACUAAACUGAAAAGUAAAAUUCCCUUGUUUUCAUCUCUGCCUUUGCUCCAAGAUACUGGUUUGUCGUUUUUUAAGUGUGAGACAUGAGUAUUGUCUAAGAGUGUCACCGAUUACUUCAAAAGGUUGGACAAAACCAAAGUAAUCAGGCUUCGGCAUCUAGAUUCUAAUGGAAGAACAAACGCAAAACAAAACAAAACAAAACAAAAUAAAAACCAGGAAAAUUCCUGUA
RNA transcript from Canis lupus familiaris (dog), 5062 nucleotides. RefSeq lists it as uncharacterized. The transcript is spliced from 4 exons. The record is from RefSeq and is a predicted model, not a curated record. NCBI's taxonomy places the organism in Eukaryota, Metazoa, Chordata, Mammalia, Carnivora, Canidae.